Molecule: long non-coding RNA, 1144 nt
Organism: Eriocheir sinensis (Chinese mitten crab)
Lineage: Eukaryota; Metazoa; Arthropoda; Malacostraca; Decapoda; Varunidae
Exons: 3
Source: RefSeq, a predicted model, not a curated record
CUUGUGGCUGUUGUCAAGUGUGACCGAUCAGUGUAAUGCCAUGCACAACGUGGAGCACCGUUGUCAUGCUCCCCACUUUCUCUGAGGGGCAGGAUAACUCGAGCCAUGUGCUGGUGUCCUGCCCCGCCCCGUGGGAGCCUGGUGGAUAUGGCAGAGUGUUGGUGUGGGUCUGCCGGAAGUAAGACAGUCCUUAAGGAUUGUCUGAAACCCCACUUGUUCACACCAGCUCUCUGCCGUGGCUGCCAGGGUCCUGCCGUCACUUCAGAAGCUGAUGUGCUUGUGGAUGCCUGCCACAGCACAGAAGCGCUUGCUUCCAACCUCGCUUCUGUUUGGUAAGUACCCCUUGCAAGCCAUCGCGGGACUACGAGGGACAGCGCAGGAGCACCAGCAUCGCACAAACAGUGCAACAAGGAAAGUGCUGUUGAGCAGUUCUUUGGCUAGGCGUUAGGUGUUGGGAUGUCUACUAAUCCCUUGCCUUUCAGGGAACUAAAUAUGCAGAGUUUUUUCAGGUCUGUCUUCUCCAGUAAAGUUCAGGAAGGAGUGGAAUCCUAACAAGAUUGCAGUAUGCAAGACCUUUGUCUUCAUCUUGCUGACAUGGAUAGGGGAUGCUGUGCUGAAUUGGAUCAAGCAAGUUUGAGGAUUAAUUGGAUGCUUGAAGUACACACCUUCUCAAAUUAUGGCAUCAAAGCAGAUGAAAGUUACCAACAAGAAAACCUCUGCUCAAACACAAAUGGUGAGUGAAUUCUUUUUACACUUUUUAUGACACUUGCUUUCCAGAUCUUGGAGUGGGAGGAUUCAGGCUGUCUGCCAGCAUGCAGCCUAUAGAUUUCAGUCUCUCCCUGAGCAUGUAAGUUCUUGGUAUGCGGUGUGCUGUCCCUAACUUACGACAAUGCGUAUUAUCCGUUGGUUAUGUUCCGUCACUAAGUUGAGGUGCUGGUGUGUCCCGGACUGGAUAGGAAGGCACACUUACUGUAUUCACUAUCAAGGGAGAGAGCCAGGAAGAGAGCAAACUGGGGAGAGAAAGAGAGCUGAUAAGAGAGAGCAAGCUGGUAAGGGAAAGUGAGGGAGCCAGGGAGAGACAACCGGGGCGAGAGACAACCGGGGCGAGAGACAACCGGGGCGAGAGACAACCCGAGAGAGAGAC